Molecule: ribosomal RNA, 612 nt
Filed under: Diatrypella sp. HUEFS 131056
Lineage: Eukaryota; Fungi; Ascomycota; Sordariomycetes; Xylariales; Diatrypaceae
Description: eukaryotic LSU rRNA
Rfam family: 5.8S ribosomal RNA (bases 222-375)
Source: RNAcentral
GGAAGUAAAAGUCGUAACAAGGUCUCCGUUGGUGAACCAGCGGAGGGAUCAUUAAAGAGAGCCUGAAGCUCCCUAAACCCACUGUGAACUUACCUGUAUUCGUUGCUUCGGCAGGCGGCCCCAGGGCGGGGCCACGGCCUUUUAGCUAAGGUGCCUGCCGAAGGGCAAACCAAAACUCUUCUUUUUAGUGGACGUCUGAGUAACAAAAUCAAAUGAGUCAAAACUUUCAGCAACGGAUCUCUUGGUUCUGGCAUCGAUGAAGAACGCAGCGAAAUGCGAUAAGUAAUGUGAAUUGCAGAAUUCAGUGAAUCAUCGAAUCUUUGAACGCACAUUGCGCCCGCCAGCAUUCUGGCGGGCAUGCCUGUCCGAGCGUCGUUUCGACCCUCAAGCACUGGUUGCUUGGUGUUGGGGCACUCUGCGUGGCCUAGAAGCCCUUCCCGCAGGCCCUCAAAUCCAGUGGCGGGCUCGCCGCGACCCCGAACGUAGUAGUUCUCUUCUCGUUCAGGGCGUCUCGGCGGGUUGCUAGCCGUUAAAACCCCCGUGUUUACACAAGGUCGACCUCGGAUCAGGUAGGAAUACCCGCUGAACUUAAGCAUAUCAAUAAGCGGAGGA